CCUCCCUCUUUCUUCGUGCUUAACACAUGCAAGUCGAACGGAAAGGCCCCAGCUUGCUGGGGUACUCGAGUGGCGAACGGGUGAGUAACACGUGGGUGAUCUGCCCUGCACUCUGGGAUAAGCCUGGGAAACUGGGUCUAAUACCGGAUAGGACCGUGCUUUAGUGUGUGCGGUGGAAAGUUUUUCGGUGCAGGAUGAGCCCGCGGCCUAUCAGCUUGUUGGUGGGGUAAUGGCCUACCAAGGCGGCGACGGGUAGCCGGCCUGAGAGGGUGUACGGCCACAUUGGGACUGAGACACGGCCCAGACUCCUACGGGAGGCAGCAGUGGGGAAUAUUGCACAAUGGGCGCAAGCCUGAUGCAGCGACGCCGCGUGGGGGAUGACGGCCUUCGGGUUGUAAACCCCUUUCGGCAGGGACGAAGCUUUUGUGACGGUACCUGCAUAAGAAGCACCGGCUAACUACGUG
RNAcentral lists this ribosomal RNA (464 nucleotides) under uncultured bacterium. Its description in RNAcentral is "partial 16S ribosomal RNA". It matches the Rfam family "Bacterial small subunit ribosomal RNA", at positions 36 to 507 of the family's 1533-position model. The record is from RNAcentral.